Rhinopithecus bieti (black snub-nosed monkey) is the source of this 119-nucleotide ribosomal RNA. The record is from Ensembl. NCBI's taxonomy places the organism in Eukaryota, Metazoa, Chordata, Mammalia, Primates, Cercopithecidae.
AUUUACAGCCAUAUCACCCAGAAGGCUCCCGAUCUCGUCUGAGCUCAGAAGCUAAGCAUGGUCAGGCCUAGUUAGUACUUGGAUGGGAGACCAUGUGGGAAUUCUGGGUGUUGUAGGCU